UGGGAUUUAAUGUUUGCCCUGCCGGACUUUGGACCUCCUUUGGUCCCCUUCCUUUGUGUCCUCCUGUUUGUACCUUUUGGAAUGGGAAUGUCUGUCUUGCGCCAUUGAAUGUUGGAAGUGUUUGACUUUCUUUGCAUUUGCAUAGGGGCUUGCAGCUAAGAGUUGGCCUUAAAUCUCAGAGACUUGGGACUUUGCAGCAACGCUGAAAAUGUCAGGACUUUGGGAACUCUUAGAGACGGACUAAAUGCCUUUUGCAUAAAGAGGGCGCCGGAGGCCCCAGGGGCGGCGGGGAGGCCGGGUGCGUGCCGGACGGGCCGCGAGCCCCGGCCGCGUCCCCUCUGGGCGGAAGCCGAAAGCGGGGUGCCUUGUGGCCGCCUCGCCCUCCCCUGCUCCUCAUCCCGCACCCCUCGACCCGGCCGGCCGCGGGGGCCAGGCGAGUGCUGACUGCCCAGUCCGUUCCCGCGAAGGGCCGCGUCUGAGCCGCUGGGAGCCGAGGACCACGGAGACGCGGCGGGACCGAGCACCCGCCCACACCGAGGGCCGGGAGCGCACGGACCGCGGCGCCCAAGCGGUUAAUAAGGAACUUAGUGACGUGGGCCGCGAGCCGCCAGCACGGUGUUCUGCAGGCCCAGCUGGGGAUGCCACGGGAAUGGGACCUGAUGACAGUCCCUAUCAAGAGUGUGACGCUGGGAUGAAGCGGUGUGGAUGCUGCACCACGCUGACUGGCCUGGCAGAAGGACGCUCUGAAGGGCCCCUUGCUGCUUUUGCUGCCAUUUGGGUGCCAUGAGCUGCUUCUGCUCUGCGAUGCCCCGGGGCCAGCAGACCAUGGACUGAAACCUCUACACACUGUGAGCCAAUUUACCCUUUCCUCCCUUCGCUUGUGAGCGUUGGGCAUUUCCUCAGCAAUGAGAGAAAAGUAAGGAAGACCCGUCCUGACGCCGGAGUUUUCCGUGAAAACACAGUCUUGAGCUGGGUGUGGUCAUGCACACCUCUAAAGGAAACUGAGGCAGGAGGAUCACACACUUGAGCUCCGCUUGGGCAGUUUAGGGACUUAGUGAGACCCUGACUCAAAAUACGGCAUGAAAAAGCCCUGGGCAUGGAGCUCAGUGCAAGGGCCCUGGGUUCGGCCCCUGGUAAUGAAAAAGAAAGUGUUUUGAGCAGGCUCAGG
Molecule: long non-coding RNA, 1168 nt
Organism: Heterocephalus glaber (naked mole-rat)
Lineage: Eukaryota; Metazoa; Chordata; Mammalia; Rodentia; Bathyergidae
Source: Ensembl